Molecule: long non-coding RNA, 272 nt
Filed under: Anas platyrhynchos platyrhynchos (common mallard)
Lineage: Eukaryota; Metazoa; Chordata; Aves; Anseriformes; Anatidae
Description: lncRNA (ENSAPLG00000016575.1)
Source: RNAcentral
GGGGCAAGCAGCAGAUUGGCUCUCAGCCUUUUCUCAAGAUGCCAGCAGUUAUCAAAGCAGACCCUCUGAGUUUGCUCACAGGAACAAGCUGGGUCGCACGGCUGCUGGCACACAAGAAACAAAGGACCCUUGACAUAACUUCCUCACGGAGGCACGAGCAAAGCCCUGCCAACCUGUCAGUCCAGCCAUGCAAGAGAGGGAGAGAGAGAAAAAGAAAGGAGGGAGUGAAGCAGAGAUUCAGAUCUCAGCAGAUAUUAAGUGUUUGCAGUUGA